UGAGGCAGAGGAGAGGAUGAUGAAUGUGCUGAGCCGUACACAGGGCCUGAAGAGUGUCAUGGAUUCUGAGCAUCACAUUUAAAGGAGUCAGUCAAUUCUCCAAGUCCAUUUCCAGAACACAUGAGUAAAAAGGUUCUGGGCAUUGGUUAAAAAAAAAAGCUGAGAGAGCUGGAAUGGUGGUACAGGAAAUGAACGUCUGCUUGUUCCCAUCCUGGAGUCUAUACUGUUUCCUUUGCUGAAGUGGCUGCCUCUGAGUCCCUUAACUAUGGUGUGGUGAGAGGAAGCAACCAUGAUGGAUGAAAAUAAACCCCCAUGGUGAUCAGGAGGUAUUCCUUGGGAACCAGAAAAAAGCAAGGCAGGCUUUAGAACCAGUGUUCCCGUAUAUCCUAGGUAUCCUGAUUGUGACAGUUGAAGUGGAGAUCUGGACUAUGCAAGACUAGAAGUGGCUUGAGUAAAAUUUAUUUAAGUAGGGAUUUUACUUCACAUUUAUUAGGUUCCAGGCAGCAGCAGGAGGUGGAGUAGGAGGUCUUGGUCAAGCUUGUUGUGCUUACUGCAUUUGAGGCAUUGUGACAUCAUAAACAGCACACUACUUAGAUCUAGACUAGUCACCACUGAAUAACUGUGGAGCGACUGGUAGUGUUAUAGUUUGGUAGUGUCAUUACAAUGCGACUUGGAGGGCAAUGACCAUGAUGGUGUCAUACGAAACAGCACUCAGCUGCAAAUGUUAGAAUCAGAUGUUAUGGCUUACUGAAGACAGUUUUUACAGUUGGGUGCAGUAGUUCUGUUGAAGUUUGGCAGACAUAUCUAAUAAAAUAGGAAGUUAAUUACACUGAAGGAUGCUUGCAUUUUGGUCAGAGCUCAGCCUGACGGUUGCCUCUAGCACACCUCCGGAAAAACAGAGAGAGCUGAUAAAUCACCUUCAGGAACAGUCAGCAUUCCACAGUGGUCAAGUCUCAUCAGCCUUGCCUACAGUGUGGAUUUACCUUCAGGUGCCUUCCUUACAUCCAUCACUUAAUUUCUGCAGUACUUUCUCCUCUCUGACUUGAGGUUUUCUCUUGGUUUCCCGUUAUGAGUACCUUCAUUUCAGUCUGUCUCAGUCAACCUUGGAGCUCUGUUGUUCCCUCCUUGUGGCCGAGCAAUAAGAUCUUUCUCAGUGAGGCUUUGAACCCCCAACAACCAUGUUUGCUAAUAUUCCACCUGAAAGAAUGGCCUUGUGUUUGCCAGGCAGGCACUGUGCUGCUGAGCUAAAUCCCCAGCCCCUGCUUUCUGUAUUUCCUAUAUUUCUGUUCUUCAGGCUUUAGUUCGUACUGUUUUCUCCACUGAAAAUUUACCCGCUGAAAUUUCUUUUAUCCAUCAAAUCUUAUCUCAUAUGGCAGUUCUUCCUCAGGAAGACUUUUCUGUUGCCUCUGCAUUGACAGUGAUUUCUCUGUCAUUUAAUAAUUACCAAUCUCUCUCCUAUGCUCGGAACUAUACUUACUCAUUUAUUUUCUUUUUCUUCCCAUUAGAUCUUGAAUUCCGACAAGGCUCACCAUACCUGUCUCCUGUGGAAUGUGAUCCAGAAAUCUGUUAAGCAACAAAUGCUCGAAUGUUUAUCAAAUGCUGAGAAUUCUCUAGAAGGUAGUUAAGAAAAAAAAUGAAAAAGUCCCUGAAGGACUGUGUCCAGCAAAACAGCUUGCUAUUCUUCUGAAUUCUAAUGUGUGUGAGAGAAAUAAACUUUGUUUUGAAGGCACUAUAAUUCAGGGCCUCUUUGUUACUUUGGUGUAGCCUUUGAAAGGCAUUGG
RNAcentral lists this long non-coding RNA (1781 nucleotides) under Chinchilla lanigera (long-tailed chinchilla). RNAcentral describes it as "lncRNA (ENSCLAG00000022443.1)". The record is from RNAcentral. Lineage: Eukaryota; Metazoa; Chordata; Mammalia; Rodentia; Chinchillidae.